RNAcentral lists this unclassified non-coding RNA (335 nucleotides) under soil metagenome. Its description in RNAcentral is "partial contains 5.8S ribosomal RNA, internal transcribed spacer 2, and large subunit ribosomal RNA". The stretch from base 1 to 120 matches the Rfam family "5.8S ribosomal RNA", at positions 35 to 154 of the family's 154-position model. The record is from RNAcentral.
GAUGAAGAACGUAGCGAAAUGCGAUAAGUAAUGUGAAUUGCAGAAUUCAGUGAAUCAUCGAAACUUUGAACGCACAUUGCGCCCGCCAGUAUUCUGGCGGGCAUGCCUGUUCGAGCGUCAUUUCAACCAUCAAGCCCCCGGCUUGUGUUGGGGACCUGCGGCUGCCGCAGGCCCUGAAAACCAGUGGCGGGCUCGCUAGUCACUCCGAGCGUAGUAAUACAUCUCGCUCAGGGCGUGCUGCGGGUUCCGGCCGUUAAAAAGCCUUAUUUACCCAAGGUUGACCUCGGAUCAGGUAGGAAGACCCGCUGAACUUAAGCAUAUCAAUAAGCGGAGGA